GCGGCGGACGGGUAGUAUAGUCUAGGAACUGCCUGAUGGAGGGGGAUAACUACUGAAACGGUAGCUAAUACCGCAUAACGUCGCAAGACNAAGAGGGGGACCUUCGGGCCUCUUGCCAUCAGAUGUGCCCAGAUGGGAUUAGCUAGUAGUGGGGUAACGGCUCACCUAGCGACGAUCCCUACUGGUCUGAGAGGAUGACCAGCCACACUGGAACUGAGACACGGUCCAGACUCCUACGGGAGGCAGCAGUGGGGAAUAUUGCACAAUGGGCGCAAGCCUGAUGCAGCCAUGCCGCGUGUAUGAAGAAGGCCUUCGGGUUGUAAAGUACUUUCAGCGGGGAGGAAGGUGUUGUGGUUAAUAACCACAGCAAUUGACGUUACCCGCAAAAAGCACCGGCUAACUCCGUGCCACAGCCGCGGUAUACGGAGGGUGCAGCGUUAAUCGGAAUUACUGGGCGUAAAGCGCACGCAGGGCGGGUCUGUCAAGUCGGAUGUGAAAUCCCCCGGGGCUCCAACCUGGGGACUGAUUCGAAACUGGGCAGGGNUAAAGUCUUGGUAAGGGGGGGUAAAUCCCAGGUGUUACCGGUGAAAUGCGUUAAAA
This 600-nucleotide ribosomal RNA is filed under the name uncultured bacterium. Its description in RNAcentral is "bacterial SSU rRNA". It matches the Rfam family "Bacterial small subunit ribosomal RNA", at positions 95 to 696 of the family's 1533-position model. The record is from RNAcentral.